RNAcentral lists this ribosomal RNA (400 nucleotides) under uncultured bacterium. RNAcentral describes it as "bacterial SSU rRNA". It matches the Rfam family "Bacterial small subunit ribosomal RNA", at positions 355 to 772 of the family's 1533-position model. The record is from RNAcentral.
UGGGGAAUAUUGGACAAUGGGGGCAACCCUGAUCCAGCAAUGCCGCGUGAGUGAUGAAGGCCUUAGGGUUGUAAAGCUCUUUUACCCGGGCUAAUAAUGACAGUACCGGGAGAAUAAGCCCCGGCUAACUCCGUGCCAGCAGCCGCGGUAAUACGGAGGGGACUAGCGUUGUUCGGAAUUACUGGGCGUAAAGCGCACGUAGGCGGCUUUGUAAGUUAGAGGUGAAAGCCCGGGGCUCAACCCCGGAAUUGCCUUUAAGACUGCAUCGCUAGAAUUGUGGAGAGGUGAGUGGAAUUCCGAGUGUAGAGGUGAAAUUCGUAGAUAUUCGGAAGAACACCAGUGGCGAAGGCGACUCACCAGACACAUAUUGACGCUGAGGUGCGAAAGCGUGGGGAGCAAA